CGAACGAGUUCCAAGCGGCCGUGUUGUUUGUUUUAUCCUCUGGUGUUCGUGAUUUAAAAUAAACAAACACGAGUAUCCAAUCAAAUUAUUUGAGAAAAUUCCUUUACUGGAUCCCCCGGAUUAUUAUUUGGAUUAAACUCAAGAUGGCACCAAGGUAUCUUAUAUAUUCUUGGAACUGUUCGUCGUAGGUUCUUGUACAAACCAACAUGUACAUAUCAUUGAAGUGAAAUUUCAUUCGGUGUCUUAAAACAGGCAAGUGAUUUUCUUUAUUUUUUGACUGUAAAAAUGAAUCAUGCUAUUAGAAGUUUUAAAUUAAAAUAUGUGUAAAUAUUUUUUUAAUGCUUUUCGAUGUUCAGUGCUGAUAGACGUACUAAAGAAAAAAUCCCGUAGCAAUGUGUUACUGCGAAAGA
This is a long non-coding RNA of Uloborus diversus, 410 nucleotides long. RefSeq lists it as uncharacterized. The record is from RefSeq and is a predicted model, not a curated record. Lineage: Eukaryota; Metazoa; Arthropoda; Arachnida; Araneae; Uloboridae. The transcript has 3 exons.